GCUGAGCGAGGUGGCACGUGCCUGUAGUCCCAGCUACUCUGGAGGCUGAGGUGGGAGGAUCGCUUGAGCCAGGAGUUCUGGGCUGUAGUGCGCUAUGCCGAUCAGGUGUCCACACUAAGUUCGGCAUCAAUAUGGUGGCCUCCCAGGAGCGGGGAGGAGGGAUGACGCAAGCCAGGUCUGAAACAGAGCAGGUCAGUAGGAGGAUCAGUAGUGGGAUCACACCUGUGAAUAGCCACUGCACUCCAGCCUGAGCAACACAGCGAUACCCCAUCUCUA
Callithrix jacchus (white-tufted-ear marmoset) is the source of this 276-nucleotide unclassified non-coding RNA. It matches the Rfam family "Metazoan signal recognition particle RNA". Rfam says of the family: The signal recognition particle (SRP) is a universally conserved ribonucleoprotein. The record is from Ensembl. Lineage: Eukaryota; Metazoa; Chordata; Mammalia; Primates; Cebidae.